CGGUCCUACGGGGGGCAGCAGUGGGGAAUAUUGCACAAUGGGGGAAACCCUGAUGCAGCGACGCCGCGUGGGUGAAGAAGUAUUUCGGUAUGUAAAGCCCUAUCAGCAGGGAAGAAAAUGACGGUACCUGACUAAGAAGCCCCGGCUAACUACGUGCCAGCAGCCGCGGUAAUACGGAGGAUGCGAGCGUUAUCCGGAUUUAUUGGGUUUAAAGGGUGCGUAGGCGGUCCGUUAAGUCAGCGGUAAAAUUGCGGGGCUCAACCCCGUCGAGCCGUUGAAACUGCCAGAC
Molecule: ribosomal RNA, 289 nt
Filed under: uncultured bacterium
Lineage: Bacteria
Description: partial 16S ribosomal RNA
Rfam family: Bacterial small subunit ribosomal RNA
Source: RNAcentral